GCUAGAGUGCCCGAGAGGUCGAAGGGACUUGCCUUGUAAGCAUGUACAUCACGCCGUGGGUUCGAAUCCCACCUCUAGCUCCA
This 83-nucleotide transfer RNA is filed under the name Gammaproteobacteria bacterium. Its description in RNAcentral is "tRNA-Thr". It matches the Rfam family "tRNA". From Rfam's summary of the family: Transfer RNA (tRNA) molecules are approximately 80 nucleotides in length. Their secondary structure includes four short double-helical elements and three loops (D, anti-codon, and T loops). Further hydrogen bonds mediate the characteristic L-shaped molecular structure. tRNAs have two regions of fundamental functional importance: the anti-codon, which is responsible for specific mRNA codon recognition, and the 3' end, to which the tRNAs corresponding amino acid is attached (by aminoacyl-tRNA synthetases). tRNAs cope with the degeneracy of the genetic code in two manners: having more than one tRNA (with a specific anti-codon) for a particular amino acid; and 'wobble' base-pairing, i.e. permitting non-standard base-pairing at the 3rd anti-codon position. Lineage: Bacteria; Pseudomonadati; Pseudomonadota; Gammaproteobacteria. The record is from RNAcentral.